CUACGGGGGGCAGCAGUGGGGAAUAUUGCACAAUGGGCGCAAGCCUGAUGCAGCCAUGCCGCGUGUAUGAAGAAGGCCUUCGGGUUGUAAAGUACUUUCAGCGGGGAGGAAGGGAGUAAAGUUAAUACCUUUGCUCAUUGACGUUACCCGCAGAAGAAGCACCGGCUGAACUCCGUGCCAGCAGCCGCGGUAAUACGGAGGGUGCAAGCGUUAAUCGGAAUUACUGGGCGUAAAGCGCACGCAGGCGGUUUGUUAAGUCAGAUGUGAAAUCCCCGGGCUCAACCUGGGAACUGCAUCUGAUACUGGCAAGCUUGAGUCUCGUAGAGGGGGGUAGAAUUCCAGGUGUAGCGGUGAAAUGCGUAGAGAUCUGGAGGAAUACCGGUGGCGAAGGCGGCCCCCUGGACGAAGACUGACGCUCAGGUGCGAAAGCGUGGGGAGCAAACAGGAUUAGAUACCCGAGUAGUC
RNAcentral lists this ribosomal RNA (465 nucleotides) under uncultured bacterium. Its description in RNAcentral is "partial 16S ribosomal RNA". It matches the Rfam family "Bacterial small subunit ribosomal RNA", at positions 339 to 795 of the family's 1533-position model. The record is from RNAcentral.